GAUGAAGAACGCAGUGAAAUGCGAUACGUAAUGUGAAUUGCAGAAUUCAGUGAAUCAUCGAAUCUUUGAACACACAUUGCGCCCAUUAGUAUUCUAGUGGGCAUGCCUGUUCGAGCGUCAUUAAGUCCACUUAAGCCCUGCUUAGUGUUGGGAGACUGCUCCAGCGGUGCUACCCUGUAGCUACCCUGCAGCUCCUCAAAGACAGCGGCGGAGUUGUGGUAUCCUCUGAGCUUAGUAACUUGUUCUAGCUUUCGAGUACACCACUUCCCCUGCCGUAAAACCCUUAAUUUUUAAUGGUUGACCUCGGAUCAGGUAGGAAUACCCGCUGAACUUAAGCAUAUCAAUAAGCGGAGGA
Molecule: unclassified non-coding RNA, 355 nt
Filed under: soil metagenome
Description: partial contains 5.8S ribosomal RNA, internal transcribed spacer 2, and large subunit ribosomal RNA
Rfam family: 5.8S ribosomal RNA (bases 1-120)
Source: RNAcentral